CUGCAGCCGCGGUUUGGACUGCCCGGAACGUCCAGCCAAGCCGGGGCUGAGUCAAGCCAACAGGGAGACUGCAGACUGCGGUGCUGGGCAGGGGCAGGGCCGCUCCUGCCGCCGCACGCCAAAGCUUUCCGCCUCCUCCCGAGUGAUUUAAGAGGGUUCGGGACCCAGAUAAGACCCCGCCCUUGCAGCCACGACCCCGGAACGGGAGGAGGAGAGAGGCGGCCUCGGCUCAGCAGAGCCAAGCCUUUGGAAAAACAGGCUGCUCCUCCCCAGCGACCAGCAGCGGCCCGGGCUGGGCUAGCGGCGCGUCGCGGCCGGUGCGCGCCGAGCGGCUCCCAGAACCCCUGACUCUGGAGUGGCGGAUUGGAAUCCUCCUGGAUGUGGAAUCCAAGACUGGCUUGAGACCUCCUGACAUCUCUGAGCUUUGGCUUCCACAUCUGUGGAACAAGGACAAUAGAACUUCCUGGCCUCGGAGGAGACUACCAGAUGACCUACAAGGUCAGGUUCUUGGCAGAGAAUGACAAAGUAAUUGUCUCCAUCACAGCCACCCACAGUCCCCAAACCUACAAAGAGCUGCUGGGCCUGGAGUCCUUGAGUUUGGAACAUCCUUGCCCCCAAAAAGCCCACCCCCACCCCCCAUAUUGUCGAAGCUUUGGGAGUCUACCUGCAGACGAUAGAAGAGGUAACGGGAGGAUGGCUGCUCUACCCGGAAAAGCUCGAGUGUUACCUAGCAAUACCUUAACCCCAGCUCCAGCUCACAACAGGGCACCCUGGGGCUCUCAUCACACGCCAACCCCCCCCCCAACACCAGUGCCUUGGAAAGCAGACCCUGAAAAUCUCUCAUAGCCUAAAAAAAGCAGGGAUGCCCGCCCCCCCCCCAACUCAGAUUAAACACAGGCUGUCUUUCUGGGCCCUCCAGCUUCCUGCCUCCUCUCCACGCCCCUCCUCCCUCCCUCUCCCCUCUUUGUCUACUGUCUUUCCACCUCCACUUCUCCCCACUCACCCCUCUCCCUGACAGCAGCCGCCUUGCCACCUUACCCCACAGAGAGUCAGGGCCCAGAGCCCUCCCCACUCUGCUUCAGACCCAGCACUUCUCUCGACUCUGCCUUGUGGAAUGGCCCAGGCCCUGAACUUUUUCCCUCUGGGUAUCCACGAUUCCUUCCCUCCCAUUGAUGCAUAACCUGAGCCCUGGGCUCCUUGUCUAGAGUCACACUGGGUGCCUCCUGCUGUCUUGUGAGUCAGGAAGCAAGUAGCCAAGGGGGUCCCUCUGGGGGACCUGGCUCCCCUCCUUACCAGCUAGACACCUGGGAGGGGUUUUGGGGACCUGUCACUGGGCAAGCAGGUGAGGCAGGUUUGGGGGUCCUGAGUCUGAUUGUCCACAAGCUCAGGGCUUACUGUCCAGACCUUUGGGGCAUCCCCAUGUGGGGUUCCUGGUAGGGUCUUCUUGACCCCCUACUCCCUCCCUCUCUUCCUUCCAGGCAGCGACCCUUCCCCUAGCUGUUGAUAAGCCCCGGCAAACACAUCACAGCCACACCCUGUAUGCAGGAGGAGCUGUUUGAGCAGAUGUUUAAUAUACAAAACAACAAUAGUCAUUAUUUUGUUGAAUGGAUUGCCAACAACCGAAGCCAUCUGUUUUCUUCAACAUCCUACCCUAACGCCUAAAAAUGCCUGCCGCCUCCCAUGCCAAAAACACGACCACCCAAGAGCUGUCUGAGCAUAUCUAUAAGUAGUUCUCUGCCCGGAUCCACUGCAAGGCUACAAAUAGUCCCUGACACCCCCAACCUUCCCUCUGAUGGGGCCUCAUGAAGGAAGAGACAGAGCUUUACAUUCUGCACUAUGGGUUAUGGCUUGCUUUCUCCCCCGCCCCCACCCUUGGUGUUUUCUUUGCUUAAACAAACAAACAGACAAACCUAUUUUACUCUGAAGAUGAAUCUCUUGCUAUCUACAGAUUUACUACCAGACCCAUAUCUAGCUUCCCACCCCCCUACUGCUGACCCAACUUCUGAAGCUCAUGCUGAAAGAGCGCCCAUCUCCACAUCCUCUGCUACCCCUGUGCCCAUCACCAUUCCUGAGUCCUGCGUUUUCCCCUCUGACUGCAGCAGAGAAAUCCUGGAAAGAUGUCAUUGGACUAUGUGUAUUUUUUUUUCCCUUCACUUUUUAUUACACAAGUAAGACAAUACACCUCUAUUAUUAAAAAUAUCUCAAAAAGGGGGGCACCUGGGUGGCUCAGUGGGUUAAAGCCUCUGCCUUCGGCUCAGGUCAUGACCCCAGGGUCCUGGGAUCAAGCCCCACAUCGGGCUUUCUGCUCAGCAGGGAGCCUGCUUCCUCCUCUCUCUCUGCCUGCUUCUCUGCCUGCUUGUGAUCUCCAUCUGUCAAAUAAAUAAAUAAAAUCUUUAAAAAAAAAUCUCAAAAAGGAAAUAAAAAGAAUUCUUUAUGCUAAACCCCGUGGGACACAGUUAAAGUUGUACUCAGAUGCACAUUAGCAGUCUGAAAAGCUUUUAUUGGGGCACCUGAGUGGCUCAGUUGUUAAGCAUCUGCCUUCCCGCUCAGGUCAUGAUCCCAGGGUCCUGGGAUCGAAUCCCUGAAUCAGGCUCUCUCCCUCUCCCACCCUGCUUGUGUUCCCUCUCUCACUGUGUCUCUCUCUGUCAAAUAAAUAAAUAAAAUCUUAAAUGCUCUUACUUAUAAAAGACUCAAAGUAAAAGAAUCAAGGACUCAACUUGAGAAAUUAGGAAAAAUGAGUAAAAGGAGAGAGAAAAAUAAGAUGAAAGUGAACAUUAAUGAGAUGGGAAAAACAUACUAAGAGAAUAAAUAAAAUUGUUUGAAAAGAAAAAAGAUCCGUUGGAAGAGACAAAUAAAAUGAGAGAAAUCUUAACUAAAGGUAAGUCUGAAGAAAGCAAGCUCAGCGGGGAGCCUCCUUCUCCCUCUCCUUCUAUCUGCUGCUCCCCCUGCUUGUGCUCUCUCUCUCUGUCUCUCUAGCAAAUAAAUAAAAUCUUUUUUAAAAAAUCAAUGUCA
Molecule: long non-coding RNA, 3012 nt
Organism: Mustela lutreola (European mink)
Lineage: Eukaryota; Metazoa; Chordata; Mammalia; Carnivora; Mustelidae
Exons: 5
Source: RefSeq, a predicted model, not a curated record